This 21-nucleotide non-coding RNA is filed under the name Caenorhabditis elegans. The record is from RNAcentral. Lineage: Eukaryota; Metazoa; Nematoda; Chromadorea; Rhabditida; Rhabditidae.
UGACUGAGGACUUUAUUUAAA